AGACGUCUACAUUAGAUACCCGCGUAGUCCCAGCCGUAAACGAUGCGCGUUAGGUGUAUCGACGACCACGAGUCGUCGAGGUGCCGAAGGGAAACCGUGAAACGUGCCGCCUGGGAAGUACGGUCGCAAGGCUGAAACUUAAAGGAAUUGGCGGGGAGCACCACAACAGGUGGAGCCUGCGGUUUAAUUGGACUCAACGCCGGAAAUCUCACCGGAUAAGACAGCAGAAUGAUUGCCGGGCUGAAGACUCUGCAUGACUAGCUG
This 264-nucleotide ribosomal RNA is filed under the name uncultured archaeon. Its description in RNAcentral is "partial 16S ribosomal RNA". It matches the Rfam family "Archaeal small subunit ribosomal RNA", at positions 717 to 982 of the family's 1478-position model. The record is from RNAcentral.